GGGGGUGUAGUGACUAUCAUCAUGGUCUCUGAUUCAUGAAGUGUCUGGUGUGAGUUCAGUAAACUGGGGGUGAAAGUCUGAUCUCUUGCUGGGUUCAGGUUCUGUACACACUUUAUGUUCAAUCCAGCAGCAGGAAGAGGAGCAUAAAAAGAUUCCUCUGGAAGAAAGACCUUAACGGUUCAGUGGGUCUGGACCUCGACCCCUGUGAUGACGCUAGACAAGAGGAAUAAAGUGAAAGAUAAACCCCCCCAAAAACCCUCACAUUCCGUCCUCCCUGGUGGCUCAGUGGGUUAAGACAUGGUGUAUGGUGUUGGUCAGGGUUCAAACCCUGUUUCAGGUAUAAAACGAAAGAUAAACCCCCCUAUAAAAGCAGGUGAGUGUGUGGGACGUGACGGCUUUGUGGUAAAAGCCUUUGCCUCUGGACUCAGAGGUUGCUGGUUCGAAUCCGGCGUGUCCUGACACUGGGUGAGUUGUGAGAAUGUCUGUGUGUGGUGAGAGCAGAUCAGGUGAGUGGGGGGUGAAAGGAGGAGUGUGAUGAGGAGAAGAUUGGGGUAAAUGGUGCUUCAAAAGCCCAGAAAAAGGUAAAGUGAUAGUUUUAGGCAGAAAUUUUCCCCUUUAGAUGCAAAACUAAGUCGAUACUUUUUUCUGUUUUUUCACUGCAUAACCCCCUGCCUUCAUCUCCUCAGGGGCCGGGGGGGCAGAUGCCCGGAUAUUGCCCCCCUUUCUCAGCUUACGCCCUCCGAUACCUUCUCACAGCCUGAACCUUCCACGCAACUCUUUCCAGAACCUUCACAAUUCUCGACCCGAACCUUUCACGCAACCGUUUCAUAUCCCAGAGUCCUGGCCGGGGUUUGAACCAGCAACCUCUCAACCCAGAGGUGAAGCUCAUCCAACUGAGCCACAGGAUCUCAUACUAACAAGCUGUUUUAAUGCACAUUUCACUUUUCUAUUCUACAAACUACAACAAACAAAAGCUGAAGCUGAGGAUCAAACCAGGGACCUCAUGUAGCAGAGACGGUGAUGAUCACCACUACACCACACUGGGACGAGAGGAGAUGUUGCUGACUGCUCUUUUCUCCUGUUCAUUUCUCCUGUUCAUUUCUAGUAUUAAACUAAAAUAGACAAAAACUCGUACUUGAACGAGGACUUGUUUAAAAUCAGGCACAUAUUAUUGGUGUUUGUUCGUCUUUCUGGUUGUAAAUUUCAUUAUUUUAAACUGUUGCUAAUUGUUUUUGA
This is a long non-coding RNA of Silurus meridionalis, 1236 nucleotides long. RefSeq lists it as uncharacterized. The record is from RefSeq and is a predicted model, not a curated record. The transcript is spliced from 3 exons. NCBI's taxonomy places the organism in Eukaryota, Metazoa, Chordata, Actinopteri, Siluriformes, Siluridae.